This is a long non-coding RNA of Xenopus laevis (African clawed frog), 509 nucleotides long. RefSeq lists it as uncharacterized. The record is from RefSeq and is a predicted model, not a curated record. Lineage: Eukaryota; Metazoa; Chordata; Amphibia; Anura; Pipidae. The transcript is spliced from 6 exons.
UUAUUUCUGUUAGUGGAGAGAGAAGAAGAGAGACAGAAGUGCUGAGGUUGCUGAAGAAAAUUCGUUGGAUUUUUUUAAUAUAUUUUCUUUCUAUACUGGUGUGCCCUGUGUGCAGCCCAAUGAUGCGAUUAGCAAUAAUGAUUUUUACAUGCUUGGGCCUUGGAAUUCUUUAUAUUUUGCUUCGCCUGGCCAGAGUUGUAAGGAAACGAUUCCAGGUCACAGAGGGAAACGGAGAAGGACAGGUUUAGACGAUGAAGGAAGACAAGGAGAGGAGAAGAUGUUACAAUCACCGCAAGGGAAACAACCUGGAUUCUUUAUUUAUUUAUUUUUCAGUUCUGUUUAGUUCUGUUUAUUGAAAUGUAUCAGAAAAAGGUGUACAUACAGCAGUAAGAUAAGAGUAAAUGUACAUUUCUUAUUUUACAAAUCCUUAUCAAUAUGUUUUAGACAACUGUAAACAAUAAAACUUGACAGAGCAUUACACCUUUAAAGCCUGUUAUGCAUUUACAUUA